RNAcentral lists this ribosomal RNA (448 nucleotides) under uncultured bacterium. RNAcentral's name for it is "partial 16S ribosomal RNA". It matches the Rfam family "Bacterial small subunit ribosomal RNA", at positions 330 to 793 of the family's 1533-position model. The record is from RNAcentral.
UCCAGACUCCUACGGGAGGCAGCAGUGGGGGAUAUUGCACAAUGGGGGGAACCCUGAUGCAGCGACGCCGCGUGGGUGAAGGAGCGUUUCGGCGCGUAAAGCCCUAUCGGCAGGGAAGAAGGAGGACGGUACCUGACUAAGAAGCCCCGGCUAACUACGUGCCAGCAGCCGCGGUAAUACGUAGGGGGCAAGCGUUAUCCGGAUUUACUGGGUGUAAAGGGGGCGCAGACGGCAGCGCAAGCCAGGAGUGAAAGCCCGGGGCCCAACCCCGGGACUGCUCUUGGAACUGCGCGGCUGGAGUGCAGGAGGGGCAGGCGGAAUUCCUGGUGUAGCGGUGAAAUGCGUAGAUAUCAGGAGGAACACCGGUGGCGAAGGCGGCCUGCUGGACUGCGACUGACGUUGAGGCCCGAAAGCGUGGGGAGCAAACAGGAUUAGAUACCCCUGUACG